UUAGCUGCUUUAUUAGUAGGUAAAGAUUAUGGGAGAUAUCUGAUAUGUGGGCCAUGUGCCCACAACGAUAUUAAAUUUAUUUUUUGUGGGGGAGGGCCCGCCACAGUGGCUUGCUGCUGGGGCCCUCGGGUGUCGCCCAGUGCGUUGCACUAUUGCCCGGGCAGGCGCACCCCAA
RNAcentral lists this small nuclear RNA (175 nucleotides) under Hordeum vulgare subsp. vulgare (domesticated barley). Its description in RNAcentral is "U2 spliceosomal RNA". It matches the Rfam family "U2 spliceosomal RNA", at positions 27 to 192 of the family's 192-position model. Rfam says of the family: U2 is a small nuclear RNA (snRNA) component of the spliceosome (involved in pre-mRNA splicing). Complementary binding between U2 snRNA (in an area lying towards the 5' end but 3' to hairpin I) and the branchpoint sequence (BPS) of the intron results the bulging out of an unpaired adenosine, on the BPS, which initiates a nucleophilic attack at the intronic 5' splice site, thus starting the first of two transesterification reactions that mediate splicing. Lineage: Eukaryota; Viridiplantae; Streptophyta; Magnoliopsida; Poales; Poaceae. The record is from Rfam by way of RNAcentral.